This 37-nucleotide transfer RNA is filed under the name Oroperipatus sp. DVL-2011. Its description in RNAcentral is "tRNA-Val". Lineage: Eukaryota; Metazoa; Onychophora; Udeonychophora; Euonychophora; Peripatidae. The record is from RNAcentral.
AUUUUCUAAGCUAAAGCAGUUUACUUACACUAAACAA